Molecule: ribosomal RNA, 1023 nt
Filed under: Triticum aestivum (bread wheat)
Lineage: Eukaryota; Viridiplantae; Streptophyta; Magnoliopsida; Poales; Poaceae
Description: partial small subunit ribosomal RNA
Source: RNAcentral
AUGAUGAAGAGAUUUUUGAGGGGCUCUUCUAGCCAAAGCUCCAAGGAUAAACAAGCUAAGGAGAAAGAAAAGGCCAAGUAUAAUCUUCCUCGCGUAGCGGAAGUACGGCCGUGUGAGUGGCCUUGUGAUAAUUUCUUGAGAGCAGCCGGGAUUUAUGAAGAUUUUUAUUCUUUGGCUGAUAAUGCAGGCCUCACCGACUUCCUCCAAGACCGGAUCAGACAGUAUCUCUUACUCACCAAUACUUUCAUGCAAAACUUCUGCUAUUAUCCUAAGAAUUCACCUCCUUCACCAGCUUUUCAUUUAUAUGAUGAGGCUAAGGAGAUGUCAUUACGCAAUUUUUGCGUGGUUUGCAGAAUACCCUUCGAGGGCAUUUUAGAUGAACCACAUCGUAAAGAUGUGGAUGGUUUUAUUGAUACUAUUACUGUAGGGAAAUCGAGGAAGGUUUCCGAUGCAAGAAUAACUAGCAUACAUUUUCUUGUUUUACGCUAUUUUGCCAUAUUUGCUAGUCGAUGCUUAAUUGGUCGCGAAAACUAUGGAAACCUUAGUGUUCCUAAUAUUAUUAUUUUGUUCCAUGCUUUAUUCCGUGAUAACUCUUUUAGUAUGGGUGUUGUUAUUGCUAAACGAUUAAGCCUGAACCGUACAAAGGGCCCCAUCUUUGGAGGUAUCUAUGUUGCACGCCUUGCUAAACAUUUCGAGAUACCUAUUAGGCAUUAUGAGAAAGAGGAGACACUGCUGCCUCCUACCUUUUUAGAUUACAGGAGCAUGCUAGUGCAUGAGUUUAUUGUUGACAAUGAUGAUAAGAUGCUUCUGCAUAACCUGAGAUUUAAUAAGAAACACAAUGAGAUUAUUAUCCUACCCGCACCUUCUUUGUUUGAUUUAACUGCAGGCCAUUACCUCGUCUUGCCGUCGGCCGUGUACGCGCACCGAGGCCAGACAUCAGCUCCAGAGCCUGAGCCGGAACCACCACUUGAUCCUUAUCGUCCAUCAACUUAUCAGUGGGACCUGGAGCAUAUUGCCAACUAG